Molecule: long non-coding RNA, 86 nt
Organism: Trachymyrmex septentrionalis
Lineage: Eukaryota; Metazoa; Arthropoda; Insecta; Hymenoptera; Formicidae
Exons: 3
Source: RefSeq, a predicted model, not a curated record
AGAAGAAAUCAUAAAAAAAAGUAGUGGGGAUAAUUUUCCCGCAAUUACUCUGUUACAUGCCUUUAUAUUAUAUUAAUAUUAUGUUA